Molecule: ribosomal RNA, 492 nt
Filed under: uncultured bacterium
Lineage: Bacteria
Description: partial 16S ribosomal RNA
Rfam family: Bacterial small subunit ribosomal RNA
Source: RNAcentral
AGUGAACGCUGGCGGUAGGCCUAACACAUGCAAGUCGAACGGCAGCACAGUAAGAGCUUGCUCUUACGGGUGGCGAGUGGCGGGCGGGUGAGGAAUACAUCGGAAUCUACUUUUUCGUGGGGGAUAACGUAGGGAAACUUACGCUAAUACCGCAUACGACCUACGGGUGAAAGCAGGGGAUCUUCGGACCUUGCGCGAUUGAAUGAGCCGAUGUCGGAUUAGCUAGUUGGCGGGGUAAAGGCCCACCAAGGCGACGAUCCGUAGCUGGUCUGAGAGGAUGUUAAGCCACCCGGGAACUGAGACAGGGCCAAGACCCCUCGGGGGGGCACCAGGGGGGAUUUUUGGAAAUGGGCCGAAGGCCUAACCCACCCACCCCGGGGGGGUAAAAAGGCCUUUGGGGUUUAAAGCCCUUUUUGUGGGAAAAAAAAACCAGCAGUUUAAUCCCCCGCUUUUCGGCCGGUACCAAAAAAAAAAGCCCCGGCUAACUUCGUG